GGGCGUGUGGUGUAGUGGUAUCACGCCUGAUUUGCAAGCCCCUUGGGUGCUAUGCGUUCAGGCGGUCCAGGGUUCGAUCCCCUGCGCGUCCA
Molecule: non-coding RNA, 92 nt
Organism: Ceratobasidium sp. 423
Lineage: Eukaryota; Fungi; Basidiomycota; Agaricomycetes; Cantharellales; Ceratobasidiaceae
Source: the annotation of a GenBank genome assembly